Dreissena polymorpha is the source of this 1638-nucleotide long non-coding RNA. RefSeq lists it as uncharacterized. NCBI's taxonomy places the organism in Eukaryota, Metazoa, Mollusca, Bivalvia, Myida, Dreissenidae. The record is from RefSeq and is a predicted model, not a curated record. The transcript has 3 exons.
AACUGGGCUUAAUGAAUAUGCGCACAUGCUAAUCAGGGAUGACACUUUCCGCGUUUAUGUUUAGUUUCAAGGAAGUCCCUUCUAACCGAAAAUCAAGUUUAGGCCGAAAGUGUCUUCCCUGAUUAGCCUGUGCGGACUGCACAGGCUAUUCUGGGAUGACAUUUUACGCACAUGCAUUAAGCCCAGUUUUCUCGGAACACGGCUCAUAUAAGUAUUGCUUUAAAUAUCAAUUACAGUUGUUAUGCAAUUUUUAAUAGUACUAGAUGAUUGUUUCUUGGACGAACAAUGCAGCUUUAACGGUUAAUGUAAGUUGAACAAUUUUUCUGAACACGAUCAUUGUUUUUUACAUGUAGCAUGUACAAAUCACAAAUUGUUUUAUAGUAUCCGUUACAUAUUUGGUCGUAUUAUUAUAUUAGCAAACUUCUUUUAAGAUAUUAAAAAUUCAUUUUUUUUAGACUUUUAAAUUCAAUCUGUCAACCAGCAUAUUUAUUGUAUUUUUUUCAAUUUUGUCAUUAAGUAUUAUCGGCCGCAUUUCGUUAGUACCAAGACUUGUUUAAAAACCUUACUCUUAGUAAUAAUUCGUUCGAAACGCCAAGACUUUUGUGAAGUACACCGACGUGUGUUGGUCUCAAGAUUCGAGAUUUAUUUUACAAUAACGGCGAGACUAUCAGGUAAUUUGCUUUUGUCAUUGGUUUAAAAAAAUCACAUUAUUUUAUUGUUAAGACAUCUGUACUAUUAACUACUUAACAAUAUGUGUCAUAUCGAUGAUCCUGUGUAAUCAUUUUGAGUAUACAUAGUAAUUUGUCAGUUCAUAAUAGCGACUCAUAUUUCGUAUAUGUAUUAUUUAAAGCUGUAUUCCUUUUCAGAUAUUAUGAUUUUACCAGAUAACGAAAAAACUACACAAUGCAAACGUUUCAUAAUGGUUGUACAACACAGUCAAACGGAAUUAUGCUGAACGAAUUCUUACACGGAGAAAUACCUUUAGCGAACAUCCACUCAGUUAUGUGUGUGUUUAUACUGGGUGAACAGUGUGAUUUAGGCUCUUACGGUGAUUGCGGAGACUGGGGGAUUUGCAGUAGCAGUUGUGCUGGAGGCCGACAUUGCAGAACAUGCUACUCUUGUUUUUGGAAGAUUGAGAAAGAAGACUGUGAAAAUUGUAACGAAAUGUGUUACAAUGACGGUUAUUAUUCUGCGGGGACAUGUCAUUGUCCGAACUGGAGAUCAGGCACAUGCUGCGAAACCUGCAGACAUAUUGAUAUAAACCAUUGCGUCCCUGGACAACAGCAAUGCGGUGGAUCCCCUGAUGGCAUUAUGUGCACACAGUGUCAGGACCUUUACUAUUCUGGAGGAUAUAAUCGGGGAUGUAUAGGUAAAUUUUAUUAUUACAAAUAAAACAAAUGUAUCACAUAUCGACAUUCAUUUUGUAAACUUUCAAAAGCCAUAUUGUAUAAUAUUUUCUUAUUGAAAUAAGAUAUUGAAAAGAGACAUCGUGUAUGCUUCAGCUCUAGUAAAAGUAGUUAGAUCCAUAACAUCGGUACAUACUCCUAUGCUUUAAAAUCACUUGUACACUGUGUUGACCAGGUAUUAUUCAUUAUGCAAAUGCCUGCCGGAAGUGUGUAUUGUACUAGAGCUCAUUUU